CACAGGCUUAGAAAUCAAAGGACUUAUAUGCGUAUUAUUACUGCAAGUGUAGCAACAAGAAAUAUAUAGAAUCCCCAUGAUGUGUUGCUGUUGUGACUGCUCUGAGUGCAUUACUGGAUUUUUCAAGAGGUUGGCAAACAUCUUCUGUUGUUACUGCGGGAAUGCCUUCUUUGCUUGUUGUCCUUGCUGUGAGGAAGUCGGUUGCUGUGUUGCACUUUGUGCUUGCUGCUGUCGACUGUCGUAUUUGUAGCUAACACGAGAUGGAAUUUUAUGGAGCUUUACAAUCAACACUACUAUAAAAAAAACGUUAACCUUUUUGUUAAAUUUUUGCGUUUUUGCAUUGGUUAAUUUUUUCUCGUUUUUCCUAUCCAAAAUUUCCAAAUGAAUAUGGAUAGAAAUGAGUUUCUA
Molecule: non-coding RNA, 408 nt
Organism: Ciona intestinalis (vase tunicate)
Lineage: Eukaryota; Metazoa; Chordata; Ascidiacea; Phlebobranchia; Cionidae
Source: RefSeq, a predicted model, not a curated record